GCUGAGUGAUGCAGGGUGGAGCCUUGGUUGGAAUCCUGGGGAGUUUUCUGUGGAGAAGACCUGGGUUCGAUUCCUGACUCAGAUCCUGUCAACAUUUCCACCGGCUCUGGAGAGAAACAGUCAGCUAUCCAGCACUUCACCCUCCGAUGGCGAGAGAGAAACAAGCCCCUCAGAAGAAGCAUUGACAAGGCAACCUCCUGCCUCUCCCACCAGCCCUCUAACACACACCUCAGUGGGAAAGUUUGCCUUAGAAAGUGUGGGGCAAUAACUGGCAGGACAAAAGGCCACUAUUUGAGCCAAUAAGACAUAUUCUACAACUGAAAUAAACCUCUCUCCUAGAGCCAUGUCUUCACCAAGAGGACAACGUGGUCUUUGUUUGCAAAUUGUCACCUAUUUU
Molecule: non-coding RNA, 397 nt
Organism: Chiloscyllium plagiosum (whitespotted bambooshark)
Lineage: Eukaryota; Metazoa; Chordata; Chondrichthyes; Orectolobiformes; Hemiscylliidae
Source: RefSeq, a predicted model, not a curated record